AGCGCGAUUUUUACACCCAUUUGUUGUCAGUGAUAGUGGGCUGGUCCCGCAUACUUGUAAAGUGCGUUCUUCGUAGUUUGUGUACGUGCGAAAACGCAGCUCCGGUUCUGUUCAAACCUCAAAAAAAAAAAAAAAAACUGUAAACAAACCAAGGAAUCCCGUGUAGGCAGAGCGAUGGCUUGCAUUUUGUCUUUCAUCCUUCAAGCACGUCUUGAACUCAGGCUUCUGAACUAUUCGUGGUUAACAGGCAAACAUUAGGCGAAAGCGUUUCACAGACGACAUAAAGUGUAAAGUGGAAAUUGUGAGAAAGGGUGGAAAGAAAGUGAUGCCUGGCAAACUGCAGUCUGACCUUCAGAAAAGCAAGAACAAGAAUAUGAAGAAGAAACAGAAAGAAUCAAAAUCCAAA
Molecule: long non-coding RNA, 406 nt
Organism: Labeo rohita (rohu)
Lineage: Eukaryota; Metazoa; Chordata; Actinopteri; Cypriniformes; Cyprinidae
Exons: 2
Source: RefSeq, a predicted model, not a curated record